Molecule: ribosomal RNA, 145 nt
Filed under: uncultured bacterium
Lineage: Bacteria
Description: partial 16S ribosomal RNA
Rfam family: Bacterial small subunit ribosomal RNA
Source: RNAcentral
CCUACGGGAGGCAGCUGUAGGGAAUCUUCCACAAUGGACGAAAGUNUGAUGGAGCAACGCCGCGUGAGUGAAGAAGGUUUUCGGAUCGUAAAACUCUGUUGUUGGAGAAGAAUGUAUNUGAUAGUAACUGAUCAGGUAGUGACGG